GAGGGUAUAGCUCAGUGGUAUAGCAUGUGCUUAGCAUGCACAAGGUCCUGGCUUCAAUCCUAAGCACCUCCA
This 72-nucleotide transfer RNA is filed under the name Camelus bactrianus (Bactrian camel). It matches the Rfam family "tRNA". Rfam says of the family: Transfer RNA (tRNA) molecules are approximately 80 nucleotides in length. Their secondary structure includes four short double-helical elements and three loops (D, anti-codon, and T loops). The record is from Rfam by way of RNAcentral. RNAcentral also lists the same sequence under 2 other names. Lineage: Eukaryota; Metazoa; Chordata; Mammalia; Artiodactyla; Camelidae.